CACACACACACACACACACAAUGUCUCUUCGGGCUGGCCUGGCGAGGCGCAGGGAAGAGAGUGGGGCCGUGGCUUUUCCAGCCCAGCCCAAGAUCCCAGGUAUCCGCGAACACGGCGGCGGCCUAACACGGCGAGUCCUUCUUCUCCCAGGCCAAGGCAGGAGCCUUGGGACGCGCCUUAUGGAAAGAGCGGCAACUCCCUCGGUGUCUCCGUGCGCCCAAGGCCGCGAGGCGGAUUUGCGAAGGUCCGCGCAAAGCUUCCCCGAUGCUUCUCCCCAAACUGACCAGGGUUUGCCUUGGAAAGCCAGGAACUGAGAAUGGCCUCUACCGUAGAUAUCUGCCAGCAAAAUAUCCCGGUCCAAAGCAAAGCAGAUCUGUAGCUGGAACGAAGGUUGAUCUCAUCAAUGCUGGGAACGAGUGGAUUUAUCUGCGAGCGAAAGAGACCACCGUCUCGCUUUCUCCCGCACGCUCUUCUGAUCCCCCCCUCCCUCCGCCAAUACUUCGGGGAACCGGCUCGCUAGUUGAGAUAGUCUCCGUUUGCCUAAGUGCUCAUCCUGGCCAACGAGCGAGAGAGGAGACGAAACCUGCCAUGAGAAGCAGGCGUUCUCCUUGAAUUCCUCGCGUCUACUACUACCUUAAUAAAGGUGGGUACGUAAAUUUGAAUGGACAAUUUCAUUUCCAACAGCAGGGUAUGGAGCGAACCUCUUCCGGGAAUGGACGACGCGGAGGCGGGGCUUGACCUGCGGGGUGAAAGGAGUGGCGUUAAGGCGGCUCCCAUCCAGAGCUCCGCCCACCACAAGCGGCUCUAAGCCGUGGUUUGUGGGCUGCAGCACAAUGCCGAGAUCAGCCAAGACCAUCUUCGGGCUUUGCUUGCAGUGUUGGAUCCAAAGGGAGACGUGGGAGGGUUCUUGAUUCAUUUAGUGGGGAGGGGACUUAGAUUCUCUUUAAGUCAGCCUCAAGCUUUUGGCUAGGACCCCUCCCCGUAGUCACAGCAGUGCCAACCCAGCAAAUCUUGCUUGGUGUUCCCGGAUUCCCAUCUCGCAGCAGUGCCUGACGGUGCAGCGUAAGCUACUUGUCCUGUGGAGCAACCCCAUCAAAACGAAAAAAAGAAAGCCGGUCCGGAUCAAAAGGUGCUCGGUAUUGCCCGCCCUUUCCUAAGCUAGACUGUUGAUCCAAGCUAGACUGAGUUUUGCAGCUCUACAUGAGAAGUCAAGAGUUUGUGACCCUCGCUGCAAUACAAUUUUCGGUCAAAAUAAAAAUGUGACGGACUCAGCUAGUGACAACCAGCAGCUCUCCAGAAUUUCAAGACUGAGAGGUUGAUCCGGGGGCCUUUUGGGUGCAAAGCUUAGUUUCGGCCGGGGCUCGGUUUAAGGGCAGAAGCCCAGACAGACAACGCAGAAUGUUGCCUAUAGACGAUUCCCCAGCACAACCCGCGGCUGACAAGGAAGCGUCCGCUGUCGCGGAACUCCGGUAAUCCGGGCCCAUUCCAUUCGCCCGGUCAGAGUUGCUGGGGCAAGGAACCCACUCGGCCAAGAGAGCCGAACCCCGUAUGCAAGAGAAAACGUAUGCGUACGGGGUUCUGGAAGGCUCCCCUUUUCGCCCGGAAGCCCUAGUCGCUGCUUCCAUAGGGCAAGAGGAAGCGCGCGUGCCCUAAGACGCGCCUCCUUGAACCCGGGAGAUUCUGUCCGGGAGGGAGCGCAAACUUAGCAAGACGAUCAACCAUUGUGUUGCACCGGAAGUUGGGCUACACCAAGAAUAAAGGCCCCGGAUCGGUGUUUUUCACACUUGGCAACUUGACUUUUAACUCCUAGAAUUCCCCAGCGACGCAUCUUAAAAUUGCCAAGUUUGAAAAAAACCCUGAUGGGUGGUUAAAAGUCAAUAUCUUCCAAAACGUUAGUCAUUAUUUGAGAAGAGUAGAGCUGGGUGAAGAAAGUAUGGCUUCCAUUGAUCGCUGAAGGAAUUCACCAAUUGCUGAUGACUUGCGUGUGAGGACUUUGUCCCUAUCUGAAAUGCUUUGGAAAUGGCACACUGUUGGAGUCAUCCAAGACUGAGCGUUUGACACUAGCAGCAUGCAUAAAGGACAUCUUCAUGGAUUUUAGCCUUCCUAUUCACUUGCUCCCCAGAUAUACUGGGCUUCAAACCUCACUAUUCUCACCAGGGCAGACAAGCAGUCUGAGAAUUAAUGGGAGUUGUAGUCUAGCUGAAAUCAAAGAUACAAGGAUGGAAAGUCUCAGUGUUCCCAAACUAAUCUUUAAGUCUGGCACCAUCACAAGAAAAAUUUCUGUGCUGCACACUGCUUUCUUUUUAACACUUUAGUCAGGAAAUGUAGCUAAUUGUGGCAUAAACUGCCUGGGAGAGUCCCAUAACUAUCAAAGUUCCCGCCUGAGCUGAGCUAUCUGCUAACUCCUUUGGAUAGCAGUUCAGAAGUGGUCUACCACUGUGGCUUUGGGGGAUUUUUUUUCUUUUAACCUCUCAGCCCAGCCUACAGCCCUGGGAUUUCCUGUCGUCCCAUCUAAAUAUUAUCAGAAAAACUCAUAAAGAACAAUGGAAGAAAGAGGAGACAGGAUAACAAAACAAAAUAUUGGGAAACAAAGACACAUUUCUAACAGCUCAGAUAAUAUUGUAACAUAUAAUGCGUUAGAAGUCCUAAUCUGUAUGUAGCCCCUUGUUCCUUGCAUUACUAUGUUUUUCUUGAUUCUUCAAUUUGGUUCUUUAAAUCUUUUGGAAUUGGGCUUUGCUUUCCUGGCUGUGCAACAGGACACAUAACAUUAUAUUAAAAACUGCUCAGAAUUGA
Molecule: long non-coding RNA, 2793 nt
Organism: Crotalus tigris (Tiger rattlesnake)
Lineage: Eukaryota; Metazoa; Chordata; Lepidosauria; Squamata; Viperidae
Exons: 3
Source: RefSeq, a predicted model, not a curated record